AACGAACGCUGGUGGCGGGCCUAAUACAUGCAAGUCGAACGAGAAAGCUUCUUCGGAAGUGAUUAAAGUGGCGCACGGGUGAGUAACACGUAGGUGAUCUACCCUUCAGUGGGGGACAACCCGGGGAAACUCGGGCUAAUACCGCAUACGCUGAGGUACUUGAAAAAACUCAGGAAAGAUUUAUCGCUGAAGGAAGAGCUUGCGGAUCAUUAGCUUGAUGGUGGGGUAAUGGCCUACCAUGGCGACGAUGAUUAACUGGUCUGAGAGGAUGAUCAGUCACACUGGAACUG
RNAcentral lists this ribosomal RNA (290 nucleotides) under bacterium. RNAcentral's name for it is "partial 16S rRNA". It matches the Rfam family "Bacterial small subunit ribosomal RNA", at positions 29 to 321 of the family's 1533-position model. The record is from RNAcentral.